CAAUAGCGUAUAUUAAAGUUGUUGCGGUUAAAAGCUCGUAGUUGGAUUUCUGUUGAGAGCAGCCGGUCCACCUUUUGGGUGAGUAUCUGGAUUGGUCUCGGCAUCCUCACAACGAAUGUUUCUGCGCUUGAUUGCGUGGUAUAGGCGUUGUGACUUUUACUUUGAGGAAAUUAGAGUGUUCACGGCAGGCAUACGCCUUGAAUAUAUUAGCAUGGAAUAAUAUUAUAGGAUUUCGGUUCUAUUUUGUUGGUUUCUAGAUGCUGAAAUAAUGAAUUAAUAGGGAUAGUUGGGGGGCAUUCGUAGUUUAACUGUCAGAGGUGAAAUUCU
Molecule: ribosomal RNA, 327 nt
Filed under: uncultured eukaryote
Lineage: Eukaryota
Description: SSU rRNA
Rfam family: Eukaryotic small subunit ribosomal RNA
Source: RNAcentral